UGUCUAUGUUGAACAUUGAAGCAAUGGAGAAAAAAAACAUAAUGUGGUGUAGCGGUGGUCACUUGCCAGCUUGGAGUCCAAGAGAAUACUCAACGCUGCGUUGGAUAAGAGGGCAAAAGAUGUGUUGAAAAUCAUCUACCACUCUGCUCUGGAACGCAAAUUCAUGUGUGGCUUAAUGUGGAAAUAUGCAGAGGGUCAAGCAAUGGCAACAAGAUUGUCAAAGCAAAUCUAAACUUAUUAACUUAAUAAUUAAUUCAGGGCAUCAAUAAAGCUAUACAACCUGAAGAGGCGUGCCAUACCCUUCUCCAAUCUCCCUCAACUGCUGACUUUUGAAGCCACAAUAGAUCUGGAGGGUGGUGUCUGGAGCCAAUGUGGAGAGAGUUUCUGUUUAACGGCAACAACAACAAAAAAUUGCUUUGAGAAAGCUUGACUGUAGAAUGUAGCUCUUGCCACGUUGCUCUGUAAUGUUUAUUUAAGUUAUCAGACUUUUCUCUGCCUUCUGUCUUUGUACUGGACAUUUUUGGGGAUUUCAAGAUCUUUAUACUGUAAUUGUGAAUAACACUUAUGAAAUAAAUGUGUCAAAAAAGAAGGUGUACAGUUGCUUAUGUU
Long non-coding RNA from Salvelinus sp. IW2-2015, 609 nucleotides. RefSeq lists it as uncharacterized. NCBI's taxonomy places the organism in Eukaryota, Metazoa, Chordata, Actinopteri, Salmoniformes, Salmonidae. The record is from RefSeq and is a predicted model, not a curated record.